RNAcentral lists this unclassified non-coding RNA (215 nucleotides) under soil metagenome. Its description in RNAcentral is "partial contains 5.8S ribosomal RNA, internal transcribed spacer 2, and large subunit ribosomal RNA". The record is from RNAcentral.
AACUGAUACUACCUGCGGGAACCUGCGGAGGGAUCAUUCAUAAUAGAGUUAUUUAUGGCACUCUAAUAAAAAAUCCAUAUCCACCUUGUGUGAAAUGUUAAAUUCCUUGUCCAUCAUUGGUCAAGGGUUUUUUUAAUAUCAACUCAUUUUUUUUUGUCUGAAAAAUCGUUAUGAAUUUACUUAAUUCAAAACACAACUUUCAACAACGGAUCUCU